GCCGGCACGCUGGCUCGUGCCUGCAAUCCCAGCUGCUGGGGAGCAGAAGCUGGUGGAUCACUUGAGCAGGGGAGCUCUGGGCUGCCUUGUGCCCUGCUGAGCAGGUGUCCACCCUAGGGCUAGCACCAACCUGCUGGUGUGUGGGGAGCUGCAGGUCCCCAGGUCGGCUAAGCAAGUGAACCAGCUCCGGCCAGGAAUGGUGCAGGUCAAAGCUCCUGUGCUGACCAGUGCUGGGACAGCACCUGCGAAUGGCCCUUGUGCCCAGCCUGGACAAGAGAGGGGGCUCAACCUCUU
This 294-nucleotide signal recognition particle RNA is filed under the name Alligator mississippiensis (American alligator). RNAcentral's name for it is "Metazoan signal recognition particle RNA". It matches the Rfam family "Metazoan signal recognition particle RNA". Rfam says of the family: The signal recognition particle (SRP) is a universally conserved ribonucleoprotein. It is involved in the co-translational targeting of proteins to membranes. The eukaryotic SRP consists of a 300-nucleotide 7S RNA and six proteins: SRPs 72, 68, 54, 19, 14, and 9. The record is from Rfam by way of RNAcentral. Lineage: Eukaryota; Metazoa; Chordata; Crocodylia; Alligatoridae.